UCCGUCAGCACUCACCCAAUGGGCACCACCCGCCCGCCGGCGCCCUCCACGAACUUCACAUAGGAGGCGGCUAUGUAGCUGGUGCCAUUGAAGUAUUGCAAAGUUUG
Molecule: long non-coding RNA, 107 nt
Organism: Drosophila navojoa
Lineage: Eukaryota; Metazoa; Arthropoda; Insecta; Diptera; Drosophilidae
Source: RefSeq, a predicted model, not a curated record